RNAcentral lists this transfer RNA (88 nucleotides) under Candidatus Moranbacteria bacterium CG23_combo_of_CG06-09_8_20_14_all_35_22. Its description in RNAcentral is "tRNA-Ser". It matches the Rfam family "tRNA". From Rfam's summary of the family: Transfer RNA (tRNA) molecules are approximately 80 nucleotides in length. Their secondary structure includes four short double-helical elements and three loops (D, anti-codon, and T loops). Further hydrogen bonds mediate the characteristic L-shaped molecular structure. tRNAs have two regions of fundamental functional importance: the anti-codon, which is responsible for specific mRNA codon recognition, and the 3' end, to which the tRNAs corresponding amino acid is attached (by aminoacyl-tRNA synthetases). tRNAs cope with the degeneracy of the genetic code in two manners: having more than one tRNA (with a specific anti-codon) for a particular amino acid; and 'wobble' base-pairing, i.e. permitting non-standard base-pairing at the 3rd anti-codon position. The record is from RNAcentral. Lineage: Bacteria; Candidatus Moraniibacteriota.
GGAAGAGUCACAUAGUGGCUUAGUGUGCACGCUUGGAAAGCGUGUGUGGGGCAACUCACCGAGGGUUCGAAUCCCUCCUCUUCCGCCA